This 253-nucleotide ribosomal RNA is filed under the name uncultured bacterium. Its description in RNAcentral is "partial 16S ribosomal RNA". It matches the Rfam family "Bacterial small subunit ribosomal RNA", at positions 524 to 776 of the family's 1533-position model. The record is from RNAcentral.
UACGUAGGGGGCAAGCGUUGUCCGGAAUUACUGGGCGUAAAGCGCGUGUAGGCGGCUACGUGUGUCGGGCGUGAAAUCCCAUGGCUCAACCAUGGAAGUGCACCCGAAACUGCGUAGCUAGAGUCCUGGAGAGGAAGGUGGAAUGCUUGGUGUAGAGGUGAAAUUCGUAGAUAUCAAGCGGAACACCGGUGGCGAAGGCGGCCUUCUGGACAUUAACUGACGCUGAGGAGCGAAAGCAUGGGGAGCGAACAGG